Molecule: ribosomal RNA, 486 nt
Filed under: uncultured soil bacterium
Lineage: Bacteria
Description: bacterial SSU rRNA
Rfam family: Bacterial small subunit ribosomal RNA
Source: RNAcentral
AGAUUGAACGCUGGCGGCAUGCCUAACACAUGCAAGUCGAACGGGAGUAGCAAUACUCUAGUGGCGGACGGGUGAGGAAUACGUAGGAAUUUGCCCUUAAGUGGGGGAUAACCCGGGGAAACCCGGAUUAAUACCGCAUGACCUCGAAAGAGCAAAGUGGGGGAUCGCAAGACCUCACGCUUUUGGAGAAGCCUACGUCGGAUUAGCUAGUUGGUGAGGUAAUGGCUCACCAAGGCGACGAUCCGUAACUGGUCUGAGAGGAUGAUCAGUCACACCGGAACUGAGACACGGUCCGGACUCCGUACGGGAGGCAGCAGGUGGGAAUAUUGGACAAGUGGGCGCAAGCCUAGGACUCCGAGCAAUGCCGCGUGUGUGGAAGAAGGUCGUUCGGUGUAAGCUACGUUUAAGUAGGUAAGAAAAACUCGACUACUAACACUAAGUGAGUUCUUGUACCGGUACCGAACGAGAAUAAGACCGACGCAACGU